UACAGAGGUGGCAAGCGUUGUUCGGAUUUACUGGGCGUAAAGGGUGCGUAGGUUGUUUCGUAUGUCGGAUGUGAAAUCUCACCGCCUAACGGUGGAACUGCAUUCGAAACUGCGAAGCUAGAGUACAGGAGAGGAGAGCGGAAUUCUUGGUGUAGCGGUGAAAUGCGUUGAUAUCAAGAGGAACACCGGUGGCGAAGGCGGCUCUCUGGAAUGUUACUGACACUGAGGCACGAAAGCUGGGGGAGCGAACAGG
RNAcentral lists this ribosomal RNA (253 nucleotides) under uncultured bacterium. RNAcentral's name for it is "partial 16S ribosomal RNA". It matches the Rfam family "Bacterial small subunit ribosomal RNA", at positions 524 to 776 of the family's 1533-position model. The record is from RNAcentral.